AAACUCAAUAAGUGGACCUUGGCCAUAGACUUCAACACUUUUGGGGUCAAAAAAUUUCACAUCCUCCCUGAUCUUCCGCCCCUCUGCUCUUCCUCACAAAUCGAAGUCUUGUAUCCCAAUCAUGACCACCUUUUUUCUUUUUUUUUUCAAUUUAACCUUCCUGGAAGUGGAUUUGAAUGGGGACUCCAAGUCCAGCUCCAGCCAUUGCAAUUGUAGCGACAACAUACUCACAUUGCAAUUUAUAGUAGCAAAAUGCACCCUCGUUUUAUUUCCAUGUCUCACGGCAGAAAAUGGAUCAAAUUCCGAUUAGAAACGAAUUUUGUGAAAAGAAUAUUAGCUAAAAAUCAGAUGUCAUUGCAGCUCUAAGCUCUAAAGAAUGCUCUUUUGGUGCAUAAUACACCACAAAAGUAGAAUUAAGAAGGGAUUCGAUUGAUGGGCAAUAAGGUAUGCUCCAGUUGGGUGUAAAUUGUCGCAACUCGGGUUAACCUGAAGAGACCAAGUAGAGAAGCUGAUAGUUUUCCAAGCAGAGAGAACCAGAGAAUCAUAAAAGCAUUGAAAAUUGGAUGAUUUGGAGAUGGGUUUUGGAAGAGGAAGAGAAUUUAAAAAACAUUGGUAAUGUAAUGCUGAAAUAUAUUGGGUUGGUAGACCCAGUUGUGGCCAUAAGGGCUCUAGUGUCGUCGGAUUUUGUGAAUUUUGUUGAUUUAGUUAUUUGGUUCUUGAUUUGUUAUUGUGAUUU
RNAcentral lists this unclassified non-coding RNA (736 nucleotides) under Hevea brasiliensis (rubber tree). Lineage: Eukaryota; Viridiplantae; Streptophyta; Magnoliopsida; Malpighiales; Euphorbiaceae. The record is from RNAcentral.